This 440-nucleotide ribosomal RNA is filed under the name uncultured bacterium. RNAcentral's name for it is "partial 16S ribosomal RNA". It matches the Rfam family "Bacterial small subunit ribosomal RNA", at positions 338 to 795 of the family's 1533-position model. The record is from RNAcentral.
CCUACGGGUGGCAGCAGUGGGGAAUAUUGCACAAUGGGGGAAACCCUGAUGCAGCGACGCCGCGUGAGUGAUGAAGUAAUUCGUGAUGUAAAGCUUUAUCAGUAGGGAAGAAAAUGACGGUACCUGAGUAUGAAGCCCUGGCUAACUACGUGCCAGCAGCCGCGGCAAUACGGCGGGGGCAAGCGUUAUCCGGAUUUACUGGGUGUAAAGGGAGCGUAGACGGGUGGGCAAGUCUGGAGUGAAAGGCGGGGGCUCAACCCUCGGACUGCUCUGGAAACUGUACGGCUGGAGUACAGGUGAGGUAAGUGGAAUUCCUAGUGUAGCGGUGAAAUGCGUAGAUAUUAGGAGGAACACCAGUGGCGAAGGCGGCUUACUAGACUGUAACUGACGUUGAUGCUCGAAAGCGUGGGGAGCAAACAGGAUUAGAUACCCGAGUAGUC